This 431-nucleotide ribosomal RNA is filed under the name uncultured bacterium. RNAcentral's name for it is "bacterial SSU rRNA". It matches the Rfam family "Bacterial small subunit ribosomal RNA", at positions 958 to 1392 of the family's 1533-position model. The record is from RNAcentral.
AACGCGAAGAACCUUACCAAGGCUUGACAUAUAGCGAAAAGUGGCAGAGAUGUCAUGUCCGCAAGGGCGCUAUGCAGGUGGUGCAUGGUUGUCGUCAGCUCGUGUCGUGAGAUGUUGGGUUAAGUCCCGCAACGAGUGCAACCCUCGUUCUGUGUUACCAGCAUUCAGUUGGGGACUCACAGGAGACUGCCGGGGUCAACUCGGAGGAAGGUGGGGAUGACGUCAAAUCAUCAUGCCCCUUAUGUCUUGGGCUGCACGCAUGCCACAAUGGCCGGUACAAAGUGCUGCGAGAUCGUAAGAUUGAGCGAAUCACAUAAAGCCGGUCUCAGUUCGGAUUGAGGUCUGCAACUCGACCUCAUGAAGUCGGAGUUGCUAGUAAUCGUAGAUCAGCAACGCUACGGUGAAUACGUUCCCGGGUCUUGUACACACCG